CAGGCUUAACACAUGCAAGUCGAGGGGCAGCAUGGUCUUAGCUUGCUAAGGCCGAUGGCGACCGGCGCACGGGUGAGUAACACGUAUCCAACCUGCCGUCUACUCUUGGACAGCCUUCUGAAAGGAAGAUUAAUACAAGAUGGCAUCAUGAGUCCGCAUGUUCACAUGAUUAAAGGUAUUCCGGUAGACGAUAGGGAUGCGUUCCAUUAGAUAGUAGGCGGGGUAACGGCCCACCUAGUCUUCGAUGGAUAGGGGUUCUGAGAGGAAGGUCCCCCACAUUGGAACUGAGACACGGUCCAAACUCCUACGGGAGGCAGCAGUGAGGAAUAUUGGUCAAUGGGCGAGAGCCUGAACCAGCCAAGUAGCGUGAAGGAUGACUGCCCUAUGGGUUGUAAACUUCUUUUAUAAAGGAAUAAAGUCGGGUAUGCAUACCCGUUUGCAUGUACUUUAUGAAUAAGGAUCGGCUAACUCCGUGCCAGCAGCCGCGGUAAUACGGAGGAUCCGAGCGUUAUCCGGAUUUAUUGGGUUUAAAGGGAGCGUAGAUGGAUGUUUAAGUCAGUUGUGAAAGUUUGCGGCUCAACCGUAAAAUUGCAGUUGAUACUGGAUAUCUUGAGUGCAGUUGAGGCAGGCGGAAUUCGUGGUGUAGCGGUGAAAUGCUUAGAUAUCACGAAGAACUCCGAUUGCGAAGGCAGCCUGCUAAGCUGCAACUGACAUUGAGGCUCGAAAGUGUGGGUAUCAAACAGGAUUAGAUACCCUGGUAGUCCACACGGUAAACGAUGAAUACUCGCUGUUUGCGAUAUACAGCAAGCGGCCAAGCGAAAGCGUUAAGUAUUCCACCUGGGGAGUACGCCGGCAACGGUGAAACUCAAAGGAAUUGACGGGGGCCCGCACAAGCGGAGGAACAUGUGGUUUAAUUCGAUGAUACGCGAGGAACCUUACCCGGGCUUAAAUUGCAGAUGAAUUACGGUGAAAGCCGUAAGCCGCAAGGCAUCUGUGAAGGUGCUGCAUGGUUGUCGUCAGCUCGUGCCGUGAGGUGUCGGCUUAAGUGCCAUAACGAGCGCAACCCUUGUUGUCAGUUACUAACAGGUUCCGCUGAGGACUCUGACAAGACUGCCAUCGUAAGAUGUGAGGAAGGUGGGGAUGACGUCAAAUCAGCACGGCCCUUACGUCCGGGGCUACACACGUGUUACAAUGGGGGGUACAGAGGGCCGCUACCACGCGAGUGGAUGCCAAUCCCCAAAACCUCUCUCAGUUCGGACUGGAGUCUGCAACCCGACUCCACGAAGCUGGAUUCGCUAGUAAUCGCGCAUCAGCCACGGCGCGGUGAAUACGUUCCCGGGCCUUGUACACACCGCCCGUCAAGCCAUGGGAGCCGGGGGUACCUGAAGUGCGUAACCGCGAGGAGCGCCCUAGGGUAAAACUGGUGACUGGGGCUAAGUC
This 1440-nucleotide ribosomal RNA is filed under the name uncultured organism. RNAcentral describes it as "16S ribosomal RNA". It matches the Rfam family "Bacterial small subunit ribosomal RNA". The record is from RNAcentral.